CCCAACGCUCCUCACCUAGCCCCUGUCCUGAGGGUGCCCCUAACCCUGGAGCCAGCUUUAAAGGGGCAGGCCCCUUCUCCUGCCCCAGCCCCAGCCCCACCCACCGGGCCCACAUUCUCCGUCUUCCAGGUCCAGCGCUCCCUCACAGAACUCCCCCGCACCUUGUCUCGCUCGCUCCGCCCCUCCUUCCCAGCCACAGCUAGAGGUCCCGGGCGCACCUGCAGAGCCGGAGGCUUGCUGGGGCAUGCGCUCCAUGAAGGCUCUGCAGAAGGCCCUGAGCCGGGCUGGCAGUCACUGCGGGCGAGGAGGCUGGGGUCACCCGAGCCGGAGCCCCCUCCUUGGCGGGGGCGUCCGGCACCACCUCAGUGAGGCCGCGGCGCAGGGCAGAGAGACGCCACACAGCCACCAGCCGCAGCACCAGGAUCAUGAUUCAUCAGAAAGUGGCAUGCUGUCCCGCCUGGGUGAUUUGCUCUUUUACACUAUUGCUGAAGGACAGGAACGAAUCCCUAUCCACAAGUUCACCACUGCACUAAAGGCCACUGGACUGCAGACAUCAGAUCCUCGGCUCCGAGACUGCAUGAGCGAGAUGCACCGCGUGGUCCAAGAGUCCAGUAGUGGUGGCCUCUUGGACCGAGAUCUCUUCCGAAAGUGAGGGCCCCAGAAACAAGGGCACUGCUCUCUGAAAACUGUCCUGUGGACAUAGACUCUCAGAGCAGGGAGGAAUUUGGGAAUUGUAUAGUUCAAUUCCUCAUUUUAUUUUAUUACUUAUUACAUAAGUUAUACAUGAAUACUCAUCAUAAGAGUUCAAACAAUAUAGAAAUACAUGUUCUCCUUUCCCUCCCUACUCAAUCCCUGUCCU
Molecule: long non-coding RNA, 859 nt
Filed under: Homo sapiens (human)
Lineage: Eukaryota; Metazoa; Chordata; Mammalia; Primates; Hominidae
Description: non-protein coding lnc-MIP-2:1
Source: RNAcentral